Molecule: transfer RNA, 68 nt
Filed under: Ipomoea nil (Japanese morning glory)
Lineage: Eukaryota; Viridiplantae; Streptophyta; Magnoliopsida; Solanales; Convolvulaceae
Rfam family: tRNA
About the family: Transfer RNA (tRNA) molecules are approximately 80 nucleotides in length. Their secondary structure includes four short double-helical elements and three loops (D, anti-codon, and T loops). Further hydrogen bonds mediate the characteristic L-shaped molecular structure. tRNAs have two regions of fundamental functional importance: the anti-codon, which is responsible for specific mRNA codon recognition, and the 3' end, to which the tRNAs corresponding amino acid is attached (by aminoacyl-tRNA synthetases). tRNAs cope with the degeneracy of the genetic code in two manners: having more than one tRNA (with a specific anti-codon) for a particular amino acid; and 'wobble' base-pairing, i.e. permitting non-standard base-pairing at the 3rd anti-codon position.
Source: Rfam by way of RNAcentral
UCAUAGCUUAGUGGUGGAGCGUGUGGUUUUUAAUCAUAUGGUUGUGGGUUCGAUCCCCACAUAGUGAA